This 155-nucleotide ribosomal RNA is filed under the name uncultured bacterium. Its description in RNAcentral is "partial 16S ribosomal RNA". It matches the Rfam family "Bacterial small subunit ribosomal RNA", at positions 355 to 507 of the family's 1533-position model. The record is from RNAcentral.
UGAGGAAUAUUGGUCAAUGGGCGAGAGCCUGAACCAGCCAAGUAGCGUGCAGGAUGACGGCCCUAUGGGUUGUAAACUGCUUUUAUAAGGGAAUAAAGUGAGUCUCGUGAGGCUUUUUGCAUGUACCUUAUGAAUAAGGACCGGCUAAUUCCGUG